GAAAUGGUGAGCUGCAAGUACGGGGGCUCUUCCAGCCAUCAUAAUGUCCCUUUUGAAUACAAACAAUGCCACCUAUUACACAGAUGGCUCCACACUGGAAGGGAAUUAUCAAGCAAUCUGAGCAUGUUACAUUACAACAGUGGAAACGUGAAAGAGUUUCCGUCAGCUCGAGCUUGCAGAAAAAUCCACUUUCAUCACGAACAGCAAGAUGGCAACAGAUGUGGAUUGGUGACCACAAAGAACAAGCACACCUCUACCAGCCCCAGUGGAGAUGCAGGUGGGGAUGUCACCCGCCCGCCAUGCGUCCUGCAGUGCCAGCCAGCUGUGCUGCAGGUGCCAGCAUACCCAGAAACAAAAAUAAUGAAGGAAAGUGAUGCGGGGAGGCUUCAUUAUAAUCAGUACACAGAAGUGCCACCGCACACUGCUAAUAACAUCCCUCACAUCUGACGUUUUAUUUCAGUCACAGUGGUAGCGUGGAACCUAAGAUAAAAGCUGGUGGGUAAUGAGGAAAGCAAUAAUAAAAAAUGAUGUUUAAAUCUGCA
RNAcentral lists this long non-coding RNA (542 nucleotides) under Numida meleagris (helmeted guineafowl). Its description in RNAcentral is "lncRNA (ENSNMEG00000015601.1)". Lineage: Eukaryota; Metazoa; Chordata; Aves; Galliformes; Numididae. The record is from RNAcentral.